This 278-nucleotide ribosomal RNA is filed under the name uncultured bacterium. RNAcentral describes it as "partial 16S ribosomal RNA". It matches the Rfam family "Bacterial small subunit ribosomal RNA", at positions 28 to 307 of the family's 1533-position model. The record is from RNAcentral.
GACGAACGCUGGCGGCGUGCUUAACACAUGCAAGUCGAGCGGUAAGGGCCCUUCGGGGUACGACGAGCGGCGAACGGGUGAGUAACACGUGGGUGACCUGCCCUCAGCUCUGGGAUAAGCCUGGGAAACCGGGUACUAAUACCGGAUAUGACUCCAUGACGCAUGUUGUGGGUGGAAAGCCUUGUGCGGCUGAGGAUGGGCCCGCGGCCUAUCAGCUUGUUGGUGGGGUGAUGGCCUACCAAGGCGACGACGGGUAGCCGGCCUGAGAGGGCGACCGG